Molecule: long non-coding RNA, 1459 nt
Filed under: Marmota monax (woodchuck)
Lineage: Eukaryota; Metazoa; Chordata; Mammalia; Rodentia; Sciuridae
Source: RNAcentral
CUGAGCCACAUUUCCAGUGCUCUUAUAUAUAUAUUAUUUAGCUAGAUGGUCUUGCUGAGUUUCUUAGAGCCUCACUGAGUUGCUCAGGGCCUCACUAAGUUGUUAAGCUGGCUUUGAACUUGCAAUACUUCUGUCUUGGCCUCUUGAGCCUCUGGGAUUAACUACAUUCAUUUUUAUUAUCUGAAAGACAAUUUCCCGUGACCUUGAAUUUGAACAUCAGCAGUCUGAAUCAAAAUGUUCAGUCAUAAGUAAUAAAAAAGUUGAAUUUAAUCAUUCUCUUAUUAGUAAUAUUUAGGCUAUUUCAAAGUUUUACAACUACAAAUAAUUCUGCAAUAAACAUUGUUUUACAUAAUAAAUUUCUAGGGAAAUUAUUACUGGGUCAAAUAAUUUUUUUUACUGGCUUUGACUCCUAUUUUAAUUGAGUUUAAUAAAUUUAAAAACUAUAACUAACUGGUUUCUCAAAGAAUAUUUUUGUAAAGUUCUAGAAUUUAAAAAAUUAUUACUAGUUAAUGAUUAAAGGCCUUACUAGUCAUUACUUUUAGAAAAGGUGGGAGCAAACACAGUAUAUAUUACUAUUUUAUUUAACCCAAUACUUUUCAAAUUUAUUUGAACUUGGUAUUACUCACUUCAUCUUCCUUCAAAUUUCCAUUCUUUCUUUCCUUUUUAAGGAUGUUUCUAAAAUAUCCCACAGGACAAAUCAGGAAUUGUCACUAUUAAGUUUCCUGCACAUGGCAUGUGUGCACACAAGCACACAAACACACACACAUACACACACUCACGAUAUAUUAUUUUGCUUUUUUACUUUAGAUUGCUCUAAAUAAUCAGGAGUUAACCAAGCACAGUAGAAGUUAAAGUUAUGUCUGGCGGAAGGAAAAGGUAGGUUAGAAAUAAAAUGAAAUUUUCCUUCUCUACCCUGAAUACUUGCUUUAUAUGUUCUUUCUCAAUAGUCUAAAUUCCUUUUGUGACCUCAAUAACAAAUAACCAGUAAAAAGAUUUAAAACAUGUUAAUAAAAACCAUAUUUUAUAAAAGGAUCAAGUAUUCUAAGAUUUUGUAAGUACCAGCCUCUGGUAUUUUUAAAAUCACUUUGUGUAGGAAAUACCAAAAUUUGUAAACAUUUUUUUCCAAAACAAGCUAUGAAUGAAGGGAAAUCUGUUUACAUAAAAUUAACAUCCCUUGCUUUUGUUAACAUUGUAUUUUUUACAAGUUCUGUUGUUUGCUAUUGGUAUACUUUGCCAUCAUUUUCUAUUUAUAUGCUAGGUGAGGAUAAAGGAUUCUGUGUUUUCAAUAUCUAAACUUGCAUACUGUAGGGUUUCUGGUAGGCUUUCAGUAAAUGUUUGUUGAUGUAGGCCUGGAAGUUCCUAGUCAUUCCAAGGGGCAUACAUUAAUGAUUGUCACACUCAAAUCUUAGGAUGACUAUGUUUUGUUGAAUAUAUCUUGAAAAUAUAGGUUAUUUAAUUU